Molecule: non-coding RNA, 69 nt
Filed under: Aedoeadaptatus coxii
Lineage: Bacteria; Bacillati; Bacillota; Tissierellia; Tissierellales; Peptoniphilaceae
Description: Peptoniphilus coxii Fluoride sequence
Rfam family: Fluoride riboswitch aptamer (crcB RNA motif)
Source: Rfam by way of RNAcentral
AAGAAAAUAGGGAAUGAAGUUCUCCCUUGGGCAACCUAAACCGCAACAGCUGAUGACUUCUACGAUUUU